This is a non-coding RNA of Oryza barthii, 211 nucleotides long. The record is from Rfam. NCBI's taxonomy places the organism in Eukaryota, Viridiplantae, Streptophyta, Magnoliopsida, Poales, Poaceae.
AAUAAGUACAUUUUUAGUACUGUUCAUGUCCAACAUUUGACCAUUCGUUUUAUUUAAAAAAAAGAUUAUGAUUAGUAUUUUUAUUGUUAUUAGAUGAUAAAACAUGAAUAGUACUUUAUGUGUGACUAAUUUUUUUAAUAUUUUUCAUAAAUUUUUUAAAUAAGACGGAUGGUCAAAACGCUGAGCACGUAUAUAUAUGGCUGCACUUAUU